RNAcentral lists this ribosomal RNA (253 nucleotides) under uncultured bacterium. RNAcentral's name for it is "partial 16S ribosomal RNA". It matches the Rfam family "Bacterial small subunit ribosomal RNA", at positions 524 to 776 of the family's 1533-position model. The record is from RNAcentral.
UACGGAGGGUGCGAGCGUUGUCCGGAAUCACUGGGCGUAAAGGGCGCGUAGGCGGCCUGAUAAGUAGGGGGUGAAAUCUUGCGGCUUAACCGCAAGGCUGCCUUCUAAACUGUCAGGCUAGAGCACGGUAGAGGCAGAUGGAAUUCCCGGUGUAGCGGUGGAAUGCGUAGAGAUCGGGAAGAACAUCAGUGGCGAAGGCGGUCUGCUGGGCCGUUGCUGACGCUGAGGCGCGACAGCGUGGGGAGCAAACAGG